GAUGAACGCUGGCGGCGUGCCUAAUACAUGCAAGUCGAGCGAACAGAUGAGGAGCUUGCUCCUCUGACGUUAGCGGCGGACGGGUGAGUAACACGUGGAUAACCUACCUAUAAGACUGGGAUAACUUCGGGAAACCGGAGCUAAUACCGGAUAAUAUAUUGAACCGCAUGGUUCAAUAGUGAAAGACGGUUUUGCUGUCACUUAUAGAUGGAUCCGCGCCGCAUUAGCUAGUUGGUAAGGUAACGGCUUACCAAGGCAACGAUGCGUAGCCGACCUGAGAGGGUGAUCGGCCACACUGGAACUGAGACACGGUACAGACUCCUACGGGAGGCAGCAGUAGGGAAUCUUCCGCAAUGGGCGAAAGCCUGACGGAGCAACGCCGCGUGAGUGAUGAAGGUCUUCGGAUCGUAAAACUCUGUUAUUAGGGAAGAACAAAUGUGUAAGUAACCAUGCACGUCUUGACGGUACCUAAUCAGAAAGCCACGGCUAACUACGUG
RNAcentral lists this ribosomal RNA (497 nucleotides) under uncultured bacterium. RNAcentral describes it as "partial 16S ribosomal RNA". It matches the Rfam family "Bacterial small subunit ribosomal RNA", at positions 28 to 507 of the family's 1533-position model. The record is from RNAcentral.